Molecule: ribosomal RNA, 492 nt
Filed under: uncultured bacterium
Lineage: Bacteria
Description: bacterial SSU rRNA
Rfam family: Bacterial small subunit ribosomal RNA
Source: RNAcentral
UCCUGGCUCAGAUUGAACGCUGGCGGCAUGCCUUACACAUGCAAGUCGAACGGCAGCGGACCUUCGGGUGCCGGCGAGUGGCGAACGGGUGAGUAAUAUAUCGGAACGUACCUUUCAGUGGGGAUAACGUAGCGAAAGUUACGCUAAUACCGCAUAUUCUGUGAGCAGGAAAGCAGGGGAUCGCAAGACCUUGCGCUGAUUGAGCGGCCGAUAUCAGAUUAGCUAGUUGGUGAGGUAAAGGCUCACCAAGGCGACGAUCUGUAGCGGGUCUGAGAGGAUGAUCCGCCACACUGGAACUGAGACACGGUCCAGACUCCUACGGGAGGCAGCAGUGGGGAAUUUUGGACAAUGGGCGCAAGCCUGAUCCAGCCAUGCCGCGUGAGUGAAGAAGGCCUUCGGGUUGUAAAGCUCUUUCGGCCGGGAAGAAAUCGCACAGGUUAAUACCCUGUGUGGAUGACGGUACCGGAAUAAGAAGCACCGGCUAACUACGUG